RNAcentral lists this long non-coding RNA (2609 nucleotides) under Homo sapiens (human). RNAcentral describes it as "HSALNT0312435". The record is from RNAcentral. Lineage: Eukaryota; Metazoa; Chordata; Mammalia; Primates; Hominidae.
ACACGUAAAAGGAGCUCAUUCGGAGGCAGGGGCACGCGCUUGUCCCCAGAACUCAAACCCCAGAGUCCCUCCGGCAGAUGAGAGUGGAGGUUGUAAAUCACCCUCCAUGCAAUGGUUCAUCAUAAAGGAUAUGGAGCAAAAUUAGAGGAGGCACGAGAAGGAAAGCCGGUGAUGAACAAGGAAAGUGCCUGGUUGAAGCUAGCUUGCAAUCCCAAAGUCAGAAGGUUGCCUGGGAAGCCAUGAAACAAAGCCAAAUCAAGGCAAAGCAGACACAUGGAGAUUUUGAGACUGAGAAGAGGAAAACUGAGGACAUUCAUGUGAGAUGGUUUCAAGUUUCCCUUAGAAGGAGAAGUUAUCUUCAGAAGGUCAGGUUGGUGAGGUGGGAGUUCAAAAACAACAAAGUAUGUAGCUACCAUUGUGAGGAAGACCAUGGAAAAUGGACGAAUCAGAAUGAAAGGCUUUCUGAACAAGACUCCCUCCUGCCUGCUGCCAUGUGAGACCUGCGUUUUGCCUUCCACCAUGACUGUGAGGCCUCUUCCCCGGCCAUGUGGAACUCCCAGAGACAGAAGCAGAUAAUGCAAGUGUCAUCUACAUCUGGCAAAAGCCAAAGGUUUGGAAGAUGGAAAAAGGAAUCCAGGCAAAAAGGAGCCCAAGAUUGAAGUGAAUGACCAGGUGCACCAGUUCAAAUGCAAUCAGGAGGGACAGGGGUAGAGGGAGAAGCCUAGAGCAGCGCUUCUCAAACUGACUAUUCAAGUCACCUGGAGAUCUUGGUGAAAUGCAGACUCUGGUGCAGUAGGUCCUGGCGGGAACUUGAAAUUCUGCAUUUUGACCAAGGUCCAAGGUGAAUGUCCAGUGCUGUUGUCCUUGGCCUGCAGCAGGAGGAGCAGGGAUCUAAGACUUGGAGAGCAAAUGUCAAGCUCAGAAGAAAGACUGGAAGUUUGGGGACAAAACCCAAAUAUGGCUAAAGAAAGCCUGUAGGAUGAAGUUGGAAGUUCCAGAGCCUUCUCUUCACAUAAUGGGACAUGCAAGGGGGAAACCAAAUCAAAAGUGUAGAAUGCGUCGCUGGAUGUCUUUGACAUGUUAUUGUUCUGAUAGAAUAUCAGCGGGGAGCUACUGAGGACCUCCUCACUACCCUCCCUUGGAAGAGUUUGUCUGCAAUGGAGCCAACACAGUGGAAAGCAGAGCUGAGAAAUGGACAAACAACUCCUGAUGCCUCAUUUGAGCACCUGGAUUUAGCCAUGUCUGAAGCUAUUAAUCUUCCCCACCAAGUUAGAACCUGUGUCAUGUUCCUCUGAACUGUGUUUGUCCCCUUCGGGGGACCCCACAUGCUACGGACACCUGAUGAUUCGACCUGUUCACCAUCCCUUCAGCCCUGAACUGGCAACAGUAUCCUCAUUAUUCAUGAGAAAACGAUUCCUCCUCCCUUCCCAGACCAUGAGGAUUGAGUGGAAUUCACUCCAUCCUUCUCAGCUCCCUGGUGAGUAGGUGGCUGGAACUAGUCAAUGAGUAUAUUUCAACCCAGGGAUGGGAAUGUAGCCAACUCUGAACAAUGAGAGUCAGCCUCAGGAUUCUAAUGGAAGUGUCUGUAAGAAAACUCUGUCUCCACCAGACCAGAAACUGGCAGGGUACAAGCCUACAACUGUUGGCAGCCACCUUACCACCACCCAGGGAGUCUGUGGCUGGGCUCCCUAAGAAGAAGACUCUGAGGCAAGGAUUUCUGUGCAAGAGGUUUAUUUUGGAGACUCCCAGGAAGCAUGGGAAGGAGAAUAGGAAAGUGAGACAGGAAAGAGAAGGGGGCUAAAUCAGAGUGCAUUGGAGAGCAGGCUGCCACAGCGGGCAACUGAGGCUUAGCACUGUUGGAAACAUCUGGAGAAAAUAUAGAACAUGUCCAGGAGUCCUCCCAACCAAAGACCGUAGUAAUUCAUUGUUGAAUCUACUAAAUCGAUCUGUCUUUGGCUGAAGGCUGCUACCAGGGCUGUUAACUCCCUGGUUCUUCUGCCUGCCCACAACAGACUGAACCAGCCCCUGUGGGAAGAGAAAGCCCCCAGGCUGAGAAUCAACUGAGCUGCAUUGAGGAGCCCCAGGUGUGUGUCCAGGAAUGCCAAGUGCAGAAGGGCUAUGCACGGGGCACCAUCAUGACCUGCUGCAGAGACCGUCCCUGAGAACAGAGGAGCAGAGAGAGAGAAGAGCAAGAGAUGGGCAAGGACAGAGUCACAAUCCCAGUGUCUGGCCCCUGCCUCCGGCCUUGUCUCAGCUAGCUCUGUCACUGGACUUUCAUUUGUCUGGGACCAAUAUCUCUCUUCCUUCCUAAAGAUGACUGCAGACUGGUUUCUGCCCUGUGUAAUGAAAAGAUCAUGAUGUGCACAGCUUUUUACCCCAUCUUAAGAAUAUUUGAGCACUUAUCUCCAUAGAGGGCAGAAUCUGUAAUGAAUUUACUUUUCAGUCCUCCAUAACACCUGUCGCAAGGUUUGUACAGUUUUCAAGAAAUACUGGGUAGAUGAAUGAAUGGAUACUGAAAAGACCCACUAAAAUUUAAUGCAAAUCUGUAACAACAGAUGCCCAUUUAAGGCACAUGGCAGAGGGCAAGGUGGCAUAGGGAGAAAGCAGUU